AGAAUGUUUCUGGUCUGCGGGAGGAAGCUGGAGACGACCUGAAAAUGAACCAGGAGAACAUGCUAACUCCACACACAGAGGGAUUUGAACCUUCUCACUGAGGAUCAAAUCUGCAGAAUCUCUGCUGGUUUGCAGCAAAGAUCAGGAACAGAGAGGACCACAAUGACCAGGGUUAAACCAGAUGAUGGAUGAGCUGCGGACUCCUCUGGGUCACCUUUAUACAGAUGUCCUGGUCCACGUCCUGGGACACCCCGUCGGCCUCCUGGUCCCCCCGCGAGCUGAAGUUGUUCCAGUCGUCCCUCGCCGGGCGCUUCCUGUUCACCACCUUCAGGGGCUGCAGGCAGCGGGACAGAAAGGAGGACGAAGGGAGACUUUCAGAGGAGAACUACAGGAGGGAGGUAUGACAUCCAGCAGAGGAGGAGGAGGAGGAGGAGGAGGAGGAGGAGGACGGUCAGGUGGAAGGAGAGACGUUUAAAGCAGAAGCAGACAGACGGAGGCUGAGGAGAGAAAUAAGUAUCACCUCGAUUUGUACCUGUGUAAUUCUUGAUUGAUACGUUUUUGUGCAAUUAUUAUACUUAUGCACAAAAUCAAGGAAUCAAGAAAUCGGGGUGAUACUUAUCGAGGCGAGCGCUCAAUCGUGCGUCCUCACCACGGCCUGGUACUUGUUCUGGUUGUGGUUGCUGGAGCCAGAGGUCAGCGUGGCUUUGGGCUCCUGCUCAUCUCCAAUCUCAUCACAGGAAUAAAACUCGCUGAGCUUCUGGACACUGAAACACAACUGGAGCGCACCACGCUGGACAGGAGGAAGAGGGGCGUGACCAGGAUGUGGAAGAGGGACAAAGAGGCGAAGGCCACGGCCGGAGACAGGUCGGCGUCCUCGGAGAUGUGAACGUGGACCACGAACGUCUGCAGGACGACAGAGGGAUCGGGUUAGUCUGAGAACCCCCCCCGGAGAGACGGGUCUGACGGGGAGGGGGGGUCAUCAUAUCAAAGCUGAACCAUGCCGACAUGACUUAUCGCUACACGACCCCCUCCAGGUCAGUGACCCGGCCCGCUCUCUGUCCUUCACUCGGACGUGGAGCAUGCGCAGACGCAUGCGGAGCUGCAGCUGCAGACUCACCGUCAGCACGGCCGCUAUGGGGAUGGCUGCAUUCAUGAAAACUGGAGGCAGAAACAGAACAGGAAGUGAGGCGAUCAGGAGAAACGCAAACC
This 1209-nucleotide long non-coding RNA is filed under the name Oryzias javanicus (javanese ricefish). RNAcentral's name for it is "lncRNA (ENSOJAG00000000880.1)". The record is from RNAcentral. Lineage: Eukaryota; Metazoa; Chordata; Actinopteri; Beloniformes; Adrianichthyidae.